RNAcentral lists this non-coding RNA (31 nucleotides) under Mus musculus (house mouse). The record is from RNAcentral. Lineage: Eukaryota; Metazoa; Chordata; Mammalia; Rodentia; Muridae.
UAGAAAGUUACCACCCUCCAAGUCAGCUUUA